GUGUGGUUGUAGCUUUCUUUAGCGGUCAAAGCGGUCUCCAAUCAAUCCAAAACUCCACCUCUCUGCAUCGGGCUCAGAACCAACAGACCGAUUUGUCCCUCCUCCCCCAUCUCUUCCUCCCGACGCAUCCACGGGCGUGACAAGCCAGCCUCUUCUUCCUUCCCAGGUCGCUGGCGGCAAGACGGAUCUCGGCGUAUUUUUGUUCCCGAGGAGUAUGGUAGCGGAGGAAGACCUCGGCGUGUGCUUCCUCCUCUCCCUCAGCUGUGAGUGUUGGGAUUAUGCGGCUGCUGGUUGUUGCUGAUCCAGGCACACAAAAAAUCAAGAAGAACCAGAAGAGAUAAAAAUGCAAAGGUAGAUUUUGCAAGGAAAAGGGAUGGCCACAACAUAUUGGAUCCCGUAUGUUGUCUCCUUCCUCUGGACUAGCAGCAUAUCUUACUACUUUGUGUAUGUUUCCUGGUUUUGUUCCAAUGAGGAGAGCAAGAUCAUGGCAAUGAGGGCGGCUUGAAGUUUCGGCUGCGGAGUCACAUCCUACAGAGUGGUGAGUGCUCGAUUGCGAGACGCUCUCUGUCACAACAGCGACUCCUGCAAUGGAGAUGGUGGUGCUCGCCACCGGAUACCAAUUUCUGCUUAGGGUGCAGGCUUCAGCUGGCAUUGGUAUGCCUGGUACCAGCGAAGCACGGCUGCCUCUGCCUGCCCUACCGCUUCAAACCUUCGGGCAGGCCACUCGAGGAGUUCUACAAUGCCCCUGCACCAUGCGCUGUUGAUCCGGCGAAGAAGAUUGAAGUUUAUAGCGCCUCUGGCCAUCCAUAUGCAGAAUGUAUGCUCAGUGACACAUGCCAAACUGGAGGGGUAAAUUAGUGUCCUGCACUUGCAUAACACCAGGAGCAACAACAAAGUACAACAAGGGGGAGUAGUAUCAGUGUAUAUAUCUGAAAAUUGCAAUACUGUCGGUGAUGUGUGUUGUUUGGGUUCUUCGUGGUGCCUCCUACAGCAAAAUUUGCAUCAGUAUCUCAGAGAAGUUGGUGCAAUGUCUAAAACAAGCAUGAAGGUUGUUUUUGAAGAAGCUGAUUUCUUAGGAACUCUCAACAGGAGAUGACCAAAGGACUAAACAACAUAUACGAAUGAUAGUGUUGGACCAUAGAUGGUAAGAAUUUUGGAUUAGAAAUUGGUGGCGUUAUAUCACUUCCAAGCUGACAUUUAUAUCAGAUGUAUUCAUUUUUUGUUGUUGUUGUUGUUGUUGUUGUUGUUGUUGUUGUUGUUGUUGUUGUUGUUGUUGUUGUUGUUGUUGUUGUUGUAUGCAUCUUUAAUUUUCUACUACUGUGCUUUUUUCUUGAGCCUACAGGGCAAGUUGUCUGCUUCUAAAAUGUGCAAGAAAUCUGAGCUUAGCAUGGUUUUUUCUUGAGGCUACAUGGCAAGUUGCCUGCUUCUAAAAGGUGCAGGAAAUCUGAGAUUAACACGGUAAGUUGGAUUAUCUGGUAAGUUGCAUUAUCUGCCUUUUCCUCAUUGCUUAGCUAGCUAUGGGUGACGUACUCUUACACUAUUACCAUACUACCAGUUGCAGUCCUAGAGUGUUCCUUGGGCAGUAGGAGAAAACGGAUCUAGAUUGGGAGGUCUAGCAUUAUGUCAGUAAAUUAUACGGUAAUGAAAACCAAGUACUAGAACUGUACCAUUUACUUAGUAUUUAUAAUUCAGGUGUUAGUUUGUAUAGUAGGGAUUUCUUUUUGAUGCUUUCCGUACAUCGCACACUACAUUGUCUGGAGAUUUCGACUGCCAAGUAGAAUUGAACUUACUAGAAAACGAGGAUAGGAAUUGGACUGGAAACAAGAUGUUCAGCUUGGUGUGUAGGAAAAAUUGAAUCGGGAAUGUAUGUUCGUUAGAGGGCUGUUGUGAUGUCGUCUACGUGUUCCUGGUUUCAGAGUUUCAGAGUACAGAUAUUAUUUUCCCUUAUUCGUAUGAUCAAGGGAACACUAGCUUCCUUUUGAGAACACUAAAUGAAAACAACUAGCGCCGCACUUCCAGUCCAGUUUUUUUCUCCUUCUUCAGCUUUUCUCAGCCAUUUUAUAUGGUAGCACAUGUUACAUUAAUUUUAUUGUUUAUGUAGGCAGGCAAUCCUACAAGCAGGCGUGGACAGGAGUGUUGAUGGCCUUGAUCUGAACACAAACUAACGAAAUAGAAGACGGCAUGAUCCACCAGACUCAUGACCUUAGUGCAGUUCCCAUGACAGCAAACGCUAACUCCGAGUUGCUCUGUAGCCGUCGAGUCCCAAACAAGAUCAAAUUCUUCUGAUGGCUUCGCCGCAUCGACAGGUUAAACAUCAGGGCUAAUCUACACCACAAGAGCAUCAUCGACUCAGCACACUGCCCCAGAUGCGCCAACAUUGUCGAGGAUCGCAAUCACCUCAUCUUCACCUGCCCUACCACAACAGAGAUCUGUUUCCAGGCUGGACUAACUCCACAGCUGCCAGUGUUAAAUGACAUAUAUAUAUGGAGCCACCCACCCAGCUCUACCCUGCCCUCAUUGGUAAGGACUUCGGUCGCUCUCACGAUCGUACGGAAGAUUUGGGACUCAUGCAACACUUUGAGAUUUAGAAAUGAGACAUAUUCAGCUGCACAAACCCUAGCCAAUACAACCUCUUUUGGAUAUGCCGAUUUAAGAAUCAAUCGAACUCAAAAAGAGGCUGCCCUAUGCUGGCUUGACCACCUCUCCUCAUGUGUCUCUGAAACUUGAUUACUUGAAAUGAAUGAAAUUCAGGUGGAAAUCCUCACCCCUGGUGAACGUUUAAGAAAA
Molecule: non-coding RNA, 2787 nt
Organism: Lolium perenne
Lineage: Eukaryota; Viridiplantae; Streptophyta; Magnoliopsida; Poales; Poaceae
Source: RefSeq, a predicted model, not a curated record